This 497-nucleotide ribosomal RNA is filed under the name uncultured bacterium. RNAcentral describes it as "partial 16S ribosomal RNA". It matches the Rfam family "Bacterial small subunit ribosomal RNA", at positions 28 to 507 of the family's 1533-position model. The record is from RNAcentral.
GAUGAACGCUGGCGGCGUGCCUAAUACAUGCAAGUCGAGCGAACGGACGAGAAGCUUGCUUUUCUGAUGUUAGCGGCGGACGGGUGAGUAACACGUAGAUAACCUACCUAUAAGACUGGGAUAACUUCGGGAAACCGGAGCUAAUACCGGCUAAUAUUUUGAACCGCAUGGUUCAAAAGUGAAAGACGGUCUUGCUGUCACUUAUAGAUGGAUCCGCGCUGCAUUAGCUAGUUGGUAAGGUAACGGCUUACCAAGGCAACGAUGCAUAGCCGACCUGAGAGGGUGAUCGGCCACACUGGAACUGAGACACGGUCCAGACUCCUACGGGAGGCAGCAGUAGGGAAUCUUCCACAAUGGGCGAAAGCCUGACGGAGCAACGCCGCGUGAGUGAUGAAGGUCUUCGGAUCGUAAAACUCUGUUAUUAGGGAAGAACAUAUGUGUAAGUAACUGUGCACAUCUUGACGGUACCUAAUCAGAAAGCCACGGCUAACUACGUG